GAUGAACGCUGGCGGCGUGCCUAAUACAUGCAAGUCGAGCGAACGGACGAGAAGCUUGCUUCUCUGAUGUUAGCGGCGGACGGGUGAGUAACACGUGGAUAACCUACCUAUAAGACUGGGAUAACUUCGGGAAACCGGAGCUAAUACCGGAUAAUAUUUUGAACCGCAUGGUUCAAAAGUGAAAGACGGUCUUGCUGUCACUUAUAGAUGGAUCCGCGCUGCAUUAGCUAGUUGGUAAGGUAACGGCUUACCAAGGCAACGAUGCAUAGCCGACCUGAGAGGGUGAUCGGCCACACUGGAACUGAGACACGGUCCAGACUCCUACGGGAGGCAGCAGUAGGGAACCUUCCGCAAUGGGCGAAAGCCUGACGGAGCAACGCCGCGUGAGUGAUGAAGGUCUUCGGAUCGUAAAACUCUGUUAUUAGGGAAGAACAUAUGUGUAAGUAACUGUGCACAUCUUGACGGUACCUAAUCAGAAAGCCACGGCUAACUACGUGCCAGCAGCCGCGGUAAUACGUAGGUGGCAAGCGUUAUCCGGAAUUAUUGGGCGUAAAGCGCGCGUAGGCGGUUUUUUAAGUCUGAUGUGAAAGCCCACGGCUCAACCGUGGAGGGUCAUUGGAAACUGGAAAACUUGAGUGCAGAAGAGGAAAGUGGAAUUCCAUGUGUAGCGGUGAAAUGCGCAGAGAUAUGGAGGAACACCAGUGGCGAAGGCGACUUUCUGGUCUGUAACUGACGCUGAUGUGCGAAAGCGUGGGGAUCAAACAGGAUUAGAUACCCUGGUAGUCCACGCCGUAAACGAUGAGUGCUAAGUGUUAGGGGGUUUCCGCCCCUUAGUGCUGCAGCUAACGCAUUAAGCACUCCGCCUGGGGAGUACGACCGCAAGGUUGAAACUCAAAGGAAUUGACGGGGACCCGCACAAGCGGUGGAGCAUGUGGUUUAAUUCGAAGCAACGCGAAGAACCUUACCAAAUCUUGACAUCCUUUGACAACUCUAGAGAUAGAGCCUUCCCCUUCGGGGGACAAAGUGACAGGUGGUGCAUGGUUGUCGUCAGCUCGUGUCGUGAGAUGUUGGGUUAAGUCCCGCAACGAGCGCAACCCUUAAGCUUAGUUGCCAUCAUUAAGUUGGGCACUCUAAGUUGACUGCCGGUGACAAACCGGAGGAAGGUGGGGAUGACGUCAAAUCAUCAUGCCCCUUAUGAUUUGGGCUACACACGUGCUACAAUGGACAAUACAAAGGGCAGCGAAACCGCGAGGUCAAGCAAAUCCCAUAAAGUUGUUCUCAGUUCGGAUUGUAGUCUGCAACUCGACUACAUGAAGCUGGAAUCGCUAGUAAUCGUAGAUCAGCAUGCUACGGUGAAUACGUUCCCGGGUCU
RNAcentral lists this ribosomal RNA (1372 nucleotides) under uncultured bacterium. RNAcentral's name for it is "bacterial SSU rRNA". It matches the Rfam family "Bacterial small subunit ribosomal RNA", at positions 28 to 1381 of the family's 1533-position model. The record is from RNAcentral.